This is a long non-coding RNA of Anarrhichthys ocellatus (wolf-eel), 13036 nucleotides long. RefSeq lists it as uncharacterized. The record is from RefSeq and is a predicted model, not a curated record. The transcript has 2 exons. NCBI's taxonomy places the organism in Eukaryota, Metazoa, Chordata, Actinopteri, Perciformes, Anarhichadidae.
UUUGUUUUGAGUCAUAUAGAUUCCUCCCACACAAUAUGAUCUUUCAGUUGCUCCUCGUAUUUUAAAUAUCUAAACUUUAAAAAAAAUUUGAACUGCCCUGCUCCUUCUAUGCUCUUGAUCAUGUUGAAGGUGUUUCAGAUAGAUAAUGGAUUAUAGUCCAACCCUGAAAAUUUUGUAAACAACUGCUUCAGAGUGCAGACAUGGGCUCUUUAUAAUUGGUUGAUGUGUAAGAGACACUCCUGUGACUACAAUAUAUAAAUAUUUGUAUUCAUUCAUCUCUCAAAAGCAGAUGUUGAUGCACUGCAUGAAAAUGUAUUAAUCAUUGAUUGCAAAAGCAAUGUGGCACCUAUUUCUUAACGUGCUUUGAGAGAAUCAUGCACGUGCAACUCGGAGUUAAACAAAAAGUUUAACAGUGUCCUUUAUACACAUCUAUCUUAUAUUUUCAGAAAGUCUACCGUAAAGUGUAAAACAGCAUGCUGAAGCAGAAAGACGCAGAGAGAAAGCACAAACUUCCUUGAGCAACGUGCGAGUUUGUUCAGAAGAAAAAAGGUUGGUGGAUAGAUUUAAAAGUCGAAAUUAUUUAAAAAAAAAAAAAAUAAAAAAAUCUCCAUAACUAUUUUGGCGCUCUCGUUGCAGUCUUGUUCUUGAUCGAUGACCUUUAAGUGGAACCGCAACCCAUCAGAUUAUUGUGCCUGUUUACUGUUUCUUCUUUGCAUUCUGACUGUGCAUCAGCCCACACGUCGGGCGAAUAUUCAAAUACUGCGUAACUGUGAGCGUGAUACUCCCCAAAAACACACACACGCACACGUCUUAGUAAUUAGGCUGUAUCAGCUCUGUCAGCUGAUCACUUUCAUUUGCGCACAGAACAAAGGAAACUAAAGGUAGGUUAUCAUACACAGUCAAUAUGAGUAAUCAAUAUGUAUUAGUAUGACUUGUCAGUCUAGGUUUUCAGCUUCAGGUUUUCAUUUCUUUCUUCUUCUUUUUUUAAAUAUGCUUAUGACAAUUCAAUAUUUGUAGUUCUAACAUAGGUUGGAGAUAUCGAGCGGUGAUAAUUUAAAUGGUAAAAAAGUCACAUUUUAAGUAAAAGAUGCAGUUUUUCUCAGAGAAAAAAUGUAAUUACAUGGGUUUUCUAAAGGCUAAUUAUCCAUCCACAAACCGAAUAUUAGUAUUUCAUCCAAUAAUCAACUUGACUUGAUAAUUAUCCACAUGCGCAAAUAUGUUAUUGCAAUUUCCGAAUACAUUUCUCAUAAAAUACUGCACAGGAGCUGUGUAUACGCUCAAUAAGUCUUAAAAAGCAAAUGAGUGACAAUAUUUGGUGCAUGUGAAAUGACAAAUGUGUCUUACAUAUUUUUGAUUUUCCUUUUAUGUUUUGUUUUAUUGUUUGCCUGUAUUGUCACCGUGCAGCACAAACAAUAAAGGCAUUUGUUGCCCAGUCCUUACAACAGAUGUGGCGCAUAUAAGACGCAUAGACGACGGCUGCUGUGCGCCUUCUUGUAUAGGGAGAAAGUAUGAAACAAGUAUUAAUCAAAGAUGUCGUUUUUUUUUCUGAGAUUGUUUGAGUUAAAAAAAUACACUCACCUUUUCACUUCAGAUGUGGUGACGCAGCGCUUGUUGGACAAUAAGGACGGUGUCAGUGAAUUGGUACCUCAUUAGGUUACUGAUAAAAGAAUAAGCUUUUGCAUUGAUGCUUCUGAUAACACGCAGCGCCUUUUGCGCUCUUACUGUCGACCACAUGCAGGCUUGUGCUUUGUACACUUUGAAAAAGAAGUGGUGGUUAAUUGUACAAAAGUUAUAUUGUUAUGCCACAUGCAUGCUCUCUAUUACAAUCUAAUUCAAAACUCUUUUUUUCUCCCACCAGUCUUCUACACGAUGACAAAUCAGAACUUGCAUGCUCCAAGCAGCUCUUCUUUCCUGACACUCAGUCGGUGAAGCUUAUGGGCUGAUUGUGGGGUUGCUUUAACAGAAUCUCUCCAAAUGAUCAACCAAAUGCUUCGAUUUUUUAUUUUAUUUGUAUGUUACUGUUAACUAUUCACUUUCACAAAGCUUCUAAAGAGCUUUGUUAAGCCCGGCUAACAUCAGGCCUAAAACUGCAUGCCUAUAUUUGUGCACCAGGAAUAUCUCCGAUGAGCUCCUUCUGCAAAUCCUCUUGGUUCAUAAAGCUUCCACACUCAUUAGUGCAUUUAUGUUCCCCACGGUUGUCUUCUACAACCCAUACUUCAUCCUCAUUGCAAUCUGCAGCCUUUUAUUUCUAUCGUAUAGCAAACGUUUUGUCACAGCCUCCUGCGCUCUGAGGUCAACAUAUUUUCAAGGGCAUGUAAGGGCUGAAGGCACUGCGCUGCUUUUUAUUUCAAACAGAAAUGAUCUACGCGGUCUGUGUUCGCCAUAUGCUGCUGUACAGUCGCCCGUCUGGAUGGAGGAGAGAAUGACGUCUUUGAUGGUGACUUCACUGAAACCAACAACUUCCUGACGCAACGCUACAGUAACAGCGACGCGGAAACAGGGAGCUCACCUUUUCAUCCGAUGAACCAACAUGAUCCUAUUUCUGCAUAGUAAGCCGUCUCAGCUCUCCCUCCCCAUUGGUUCCAAGAACAGCGACGGGCUCGUUAACUCAAAGAGUCGCCCGGUUUGUUUGUGCUUCGGUUUCCUAUAUAGCGUGAGGGCACAACGCCUCAGUCAGUUCCUCUAUACUUGUUGCGUUGCUUUGCGGUCCCGUCUUUGCCGCCAGAACGCAUGGGAUCCAAAUACCUGACCCGAUAGUGAUGUUUAAACUGUCCUAACAUGUAUUUUGUUUGAUAAAACCUGCUUUCACCGAGAGAAAGUAAACUUGUUGCCACCUAUAAUGUGCGACGGAGAGCGAGUAACCUGUCAAGAAAUUUAAUGGAUAGAUGGGGGGUAAUUACUCAACUUCGGUCUGGCAUUUAGGCUGAAUGAAAGUUGAAAGUUUAGGAGUGGGAGGAAAACGUACGUCUCUCCUACUCCUCGUUGGUGGUAACGCGUUACUGCGCAUCUCGUUACCGCCCUGCACUGUCCGGGAACUGGCAGCAGAGUUUGAAGUCGAAAAGGCGUGUGUAGGCUGCACGCGCUCUCCGUUUGAGGGAUCUGGCUCGACGAAGUAACAGACGGAAAGCCUAUGCGCGCCACUGAAAGCAAGCAACGGGAAGCCCGCAUAUACGGAAUCUGUAGUUGUGGGAAAGAAAUCCAAGUCGCCGAGCCGGGCUGAGCGAAUGUGUCCGUUUCUCUAUACGCGCGCACGGGGCGCACCGACCUGUAGUAGCCUGAUCUUGGAUAGCCUAUCAAACCCGGGCACCCGUGAAGCCUACCGUCUGCUUCACACUGAAGGGAUGCUGGUCGUCCCAGACACGUGAGCAGAGCUGAUGAGACGAGUUGAUCGCGGAUUUGGAUGAGGGCUUUUUUUUCUGUGCGUUAAUGACCAGCCGUGCAAACUAGGCUAUGGUGCGCUCAGAUGUGUGUGUGUGUGUGUGUGUGUUUUUUUCCUUUCUCUCUCUCGGUCGCUCUCUGUAUCCACCGCUCCGCCUCCCCCUUUUCGCAACAUUGACGCAACCAAAAAACACUGGAACAAAAGAAACAACUUCCUUGAAGCUUUGCUGAAACUGCACUUAGUCGGAGAAUGGAAGCUUCUUGUCAACUUGCCUGGAUGGAAAUGUCGAGGUGAGGGUGUCACCAGCGGCCGGCUGGCGGCGAGGGAGAUGCAGUCGAUCAUUCCAAAGGGGCAUCCAGGCUGUCGAGUAAGUGCCAUUAAACAUUCAGUGGAGUAAUUUCAACUUUUGCUGUGUGCUGUCUGACUAGUUGAGUUUGCCGUUCAGUUGUCCACCACAAAAAAAUUCAGUCGUUUUGGUCGAUUCUCUCCGACGCGGGACACAAAGUAAAGUCCCUUCAAUGUAACGCUGUCGAAAUGACGAGGUAGAGUAUAAGUUAUAGGCCUUUAUAGUCAUUGUGGGGGAUGUCGAUGUGCAUGCUGUUUCCAAAAUGACAAGUAUGUACUCUUUUAAAAAAGACUAAAAAACAGGACAUGUAGGAGCCUCUGACAACGGGGCUGUCAAUGUAAAAGACAGUGUUUGUAGAUCUAUUUCAUGUACCGUGAAAACAGGAGGUGAAUGUGGAUCACCUUUAUCCGGGCAGACGUUGAUGUGUUGUGCAUUGACAGGCUUCCAGUUUAUUAUUGUUAUUCAUAUGCAGCAGCAUUGAGCCGUCGCCGGGUUUGCGUGAAGAUCCCGGUGGUCGACAAAACAAUGUCCCCCAACGUGAGCAGCGGUGCCACAGUUCGGUGAAACAGAUGUGGUGUCAUCGUUUUUGGUUGAUGUGUCUUAACUUUGCUUUGAGGUUCGGUCCGCAAUUCGGGGCGGACGACCACUGCGCUUUUGUCGCGUCGGUGUUUUCGCUGCAUGAACAAAGGACUGGAUGAAGCAGUCGGCUCCGCGCAGAGCGUCGGUGGAGAGCAGGCGGGCUGUUUACAAUAAUAACACGAUCGCGGGGUGACGUCACGCGACUGACAGCGGCCUCGGCCAAUGGGGGAGCCGCGUGGCCAUCAGCAACACGCUAUAUUUGGAAAGGGGGUUACAUCAUCGAGGUGCAGCGGCGGACUCUGGUGGGAGGGACUUCCGCGGGGAUUUUCAAUUUGUAGUCCAGAAACAGGACAAUGAGUAGAUUCGUUUUGUCUUUGGAAGCUUGAAGUGUGGAUUUUUAGAGUUUAUCAAACAUUUCCAGAAGCUGUUUACACUCAGCUUAUUCUUGCAAUUGCGUAUAUGGUAUCGUUGUGUGUGCAGUUUAUCCUUGCAUUUUUACGUUUUAAAAACUUUUUUCCUGUAUUGUGUUACUGCACUUUGUUACCUCUGCAAAUUGUCCUCCAGUGACAAAGGAAGUGUUUUGAAUUAGAAUUAGCCUUUGAAUUAGGUGUGCCUCAAAUAACCUAUAGUGUUAUUACAAUGCAGUCAUGGUCCUGCAACUUAGCCUAUAAUUUGAUUUAACCUCUAUAGUGUGAAUGGAAAGUGUUGCCCAAGUAUCUGUCAAUAGCGUGCUUCCAGUUUCAGUGCUAAAAAUACUUGACUGUGGAACACUUAGGAGGCUGCUGUUUAAUUUUCAUACAUACACAAAGUUUCUCAGCAACAGCCGACUCCAUAAAUGUUUACCGAUCCCAAGAGGUCUCAUCAAGUCAAUUCAAGUCAAUUAUAUUUUUAUAGAACAAAUAUGCUAAAGGAAUUUUACAAUCUGUUCAGAAUAUCACACCCUCUAUAAUUUGACUCUUGUUUUGGAUAAGGACAAACCACAAACCCCUUUCAACGGGGGGAAAACCCUUUGAUGGGGUUCUACAGAGGAGAAAGGUGGUUCUAUAACAGAAGUAUUACAAGUAAGUACUGCACCUACAUCUUUUUGUAAAGUGUCGAUUUUAGAAAGGUGUGUUGAUAAUGCUGUAGUUUUAAAGUUACAGUUUUUUUCUCCCAUCGACUGCUAAAUUGCAAACACAGCAGCGUUAGUCGCCAAACUGUGAAAGAAGAGAUUAACCGUCGCCUGUCCCGAGUCCUCCUGCCCUCACCUUCUCUAACAGCUAAGUGACAAAAAUGCGAAUUUGGUCAAUUUAUCAUAUACCAAUUAAUAAAAACGCUGCGACUUUUAAAUGUUCAGGUAGAUGCCGCGCUUCAGGACUACAUAUUUGUUCACACACAACAACACAUCCAAGUUAAACAUGAGAAAGAGACUACAAAACUGCAACAGAAGAGAGACUAUGUCCAAAGUCAUUGUCAGGGAUAGAUGUUCGGAAAGAGUCUCUUUCGGUCGGCUGCUUACAGAGUCUUUCCGAGGAAAUAUGGCAAUCAAAUGCCAGCUGUCACGUGACAAGCUGCAUUACAUACUUCUUAAUUAUUAGUAGCAGUAUAUUAGAUUGUAAAGUAAUAAUACAUGUAAGGCGCUAAUCUCUAAAUGUAAUGGUCUUUAAUGUUUCUUCUCUAUAAAAGGGCAUUUAGCAUUUUUAUUAAUACAAAAUAUUGGUAUUAUCAGCGAUAACUGCUCUGAUAUUACUUGGUUGAAUUCAAUUUAAGGUAUCGCCCACCAAUACUAUUCUGUAAGAAAAGAGACACUUUUCACUCUGGAAACUACUUUUCAUGAGAGCGUAAGAUCUUCAGAUACAAGCGGUGUACUUGAAACUUCUAUCUCUAAUCUAUCCCUUUCAUGUGAAUAUUGGUCUAAUGUUUUGAUUAAUAUUGGCCUUUGAUCAGCUCAAUGCGCUUGAAGAAAUAUAUUAACAAAUAUAAGUCAUCUCACUUGGCAACAUUUAUCUCAGCAUAAGAAAAUAUAUAAUAUAAUAUACACUACAGACAGUGAGUCACAGCAGAGUGAUAUUUGCCGUAGAACUACAUUUCAGUGUGAAGAAACAUUCCAGUUUUCCAGAAAUGUCAGCUAUAUUAAACUGAUUGUGAUAGGUGACUAAUAUAAAUCUAACACAUAGCCUACACAUUUUUCCAGUUCUCAAAUAAACAGUGCUGACAAUGGAGUCUUAGAUCAGCUAACGUAAUGAGUUGGCAUUAUAUGCAUGUGUUGCAUGUGCUUUGUUUUCGACUUCAUCUCGUCAGUCAAGCAAUCACUUUGCAUAUACAGUCUCUCCAAAGUUUCAAAUGUGUAUUAAAAUGUUGUCCAGAGAUUUAAAUCUAUCAGCGUAUCACUGCACGGUAGGUUACAGUCGAAGUUUGUCUGUAACAUUAAUAGUAAACGUUAUCUUGCUGAUAUUGACGCAGUAUGAGCUCAUGAAUGUAAUUUAGGAAAUCUACUGGAGGCUUUAGUGGUUUUUAUAUGCGCUCUGGACUUGCAUGUCGUGAACAAAACACAGCAUGAGUCUAUAUUGUGCUGAACGAUGCUUUUGUCAUUUGAGUCUUCUUUGUCUUUUUAAAUGUCACUAAAGCUCAAAUAAUGACAGACUGAGACAUCGGUAAAGUCAUUUGCAAAUAGUUCACUGGCCUUGCAGAUACUGAACAGUCCUUUGAGACUUAAUGUAUUUCUUUAUUGAUCAAAGGUACACUUGCGUCUGACUGUCACCUGAUUUUAAAAAAAUUCUUUAUUUUGAUGAAAUUGCACACUAAUUAUUUAUUUUUAUUAAUUCCAUCCGUGUCUCAGGAGAGAGUCCUAAUCCUGUGGUGAAGUUGCUGCUCUUACCGUACUUGGUUUUUGUUUUUGCACAAUCAUCAUCAUAGAGAUAAAAAAUGUUGCCACCAAAUAUCUUCAAUCACCAGCUUCCGGCAAAAAAUAUCAGGCUUCCAAAACUUAUUCUUCGAGUCCUUUCUGUAACCCUGCAUGCUUAGGAUUAGGUCUUGCUUGUGUUUAGCCUUCUCUGUAAUCCCUCUCAGCAGUCUGCCUCCAAAAAGAAAGAAAGAAAUACUGAGGGGUGUGGACAAUUGUCAAGAUAAUAAAAAAGGAAAUACUAUUAGACCAGGAAGUCAUUUUAAAAUGUUUUGUGGGGCGAGUCCCAAAAACGUUGAAUGAAAAACCCCAUCAGGUUGACACACCCCAACCAUGACACUGGAUGUUUUAACUCCUGAUGCAGGGAUACGUGUCUCUGAGGGUAUUAGUCUAAUUGAAAUGCCUCUACACAGGAUCCUGUGGUCUUUUUCGGCACAUGACCUCACAUUUAGUGUGGAAAACGCCGUAUUUGAUACUUAGGAGACUAGAAAGCCUUGAGGUGUUAACAAUAUAACAAAGUUAAAAAACACAAUUUGGGAGAAAUCGAGCUGAUCUCGAGUAUCUUUUCAGUGACAGUCUGUGUUAGCAAACUACACAGCUUUUUUCAGGCUCUACAGGGAAGUUGGUGCUGAUUCUUUUUUUCUAUUAAACAUAAAAAAUAUUCAUGGAAAGUCUCAAACCAAAGAAUAACUUAAUGGAGCAUCGCUUUACUCUCCUCAGCUUGCCUUCUAUUUCAAACCCCCCUUAUAAAUGAAUUAUACUCACUUAAUUUGAUUACUAUGCGUGAGAAUGUCUAUAAGAUCAUGUAGACUAAAUAAAGAGGGCUUCUCGUACUGUAAUAUCUGAACUUGCUGGCCAAGCAUGUGAUAGUGUUUAGCAGGACCCUGACUAUAAAAGUCUGUUUUAUUUAAACUGUUCUAUUUGAAAAGAAACAACACUUUACGAUGAUUUGUGCAGCCAAUUUAGAUGUAAAAAAAAGUUGUGUGUGCACUUUUUAUAGGGCCCGGGGGCUAACGUGACCACCUCGCAGCUUUUGUGCUAAAAAGAGGUCAGAGGUCUCUGUUAUGUUUUCAGGGUGACCUGCUAGUGACUAUUAGCCAUUGAUAAAUGUGAUGUCCCACAAGUGUGCGGGCCGGACCCCUCCAAAGGGGGAGGUGUCAUAACACGCCCCACGCUAACCUCCCCACCUCAACCAGUGCUUACACACAUGCAAACACACACACUCUGCCCUGCUGACAGGAGCACAAGGGGGCAGCUGCUACAGAUGUCUCAUAGAGAGAGGGGGAGGGGAGCCGGGGAGACAUCAAUGGAGAGUCUCUCUCUCUAGUAUGGAGUUCUCAGUGGGGCUCAUUGUGUUCUCAAAGGACCAAGACGAGGGAAUAGGCUACGUUAAUAUAGUACGCCUAUAGUCUCUUUUACUUUGUUUCAGGGUGCUGCUCAGUUUGACUGCUGCAUGUAUUAUUUUCAGAGGGAAUUGUCUCCUAUACACUGCAAAAUAUCCCUACAUUUUAGCUCCAUUUGUACGGGUCGAUAUUUACAAUGAAGAAAUAAAGAAUAAGGGGAUUUUUAUUUUUUGGAUUCAAACUGUGAAUGGAACUAACUAUAUUUAAAACGAUGACAGUCUUGCGCUCACAUCUACAGUGAGAAGAGGAGGAAUGAUUUUCACACUCACAUAUCCGCCUACACCUAAUGCGCCCAUGCAGAAGGUGAUUUCACAUUAUAGUGCACCUUCAACAAGGGUCAGUCACCUACUGGUGCGUUACGCUGACAGUAAAGCUGCCAACUGUGCUCAUCCCUGGUUCGGUGUCACCCCUGACCUUAAUUCAUUUUGUUCAGUCUUCAGUUGAUAUUUCUUCACUAAACUCGAAAGAUUUGCAUGUGAACUCUCAACGCGUGUUGGGAGCUGAGCUUUUGCUAUUGUCUAUUUCCCUAUCAUCAGAUGUCAAUGCAGUCCCAUGUCUGGUGGUGGUGUGAAAGGCCAUCUUUUGAGUCACAUGAGGGGAAAUACUAGAGAGAGAGUGAGAGAGAGAGAGAGAGAAAAAAACAAAUCUGUAAAACUCCUCCUUGAAUGAGAAGCAGCUGAGUGUAACAGCCAACCAUGCACGUAUGUCAUCUAACAUGAAAUCAAAUUACACUGAACUAAAACUGCCCCGGCAUGGCAACUUUGCAGCCGGGUUAGCCUGCUGUGGCCAGACACCACGAUACAUGACACUGUGGCUCUUGUUCAGCUCGUCUACCAGAGGACAAGGGAGAGCCCGACUCUGUCUCAACCCUCCUAAUGAAGAGAUGCAUUAUGAUGUGAUUUCAUUUGGGCCUGCAGAAAAGCUGUUGUGGAUAACAGAGCAGUCUGAGUAGCAUUUGUGUACUGACAUGUGACUUGUGUUUUCGUGAGUCAUAAGGAUCUCCUGCUUAAUGGAAGGCAGUGUGUGCUCAUGUGACGGUGACACAAUGCAGGAUGAACUGUAUAGUAUUCACCCGAGCUCAGCUUGGCUACCGUUUGGCACUGCUAAAGGGACACACAAGCACCUUUUUUUUAUCUUGUUCAUUUUUCUCAUUGUGAAACUAAAUAAACCACAAUUUCUGUUUGUGUCACUGAAGGGUUUUGGCUGAAUACUGCGUGAUCUUUUAAAAAACCCUGACAAGUUUUCAACAGUAUUUGUAAGUACGGCAUAUGUGCAUUUGUAGAUAGGACUGCAUGCGUGUGUGUGUGUGUGUGUGUGUGUGUGUGUGCGAUGUCUUUGAGUACUGCAUCAUGAUCUCCCCUAUGUCACACUGGUGUUUUUGCUGGCUCAUCCCUGCCUCUCCACAUGCCUGUUUAACAACACAGAGCUCCUCCUUACUGGCUUCCUGUCCAAACCAGUUUAUCUGUAAACAAGUGUGUUUUUUCCCUGUCCGCACCAUUGUCCACACUACACACCAGAAUGCAUACACAAUGGGCGCCCUCUCUCUCCCAGUUGGCUUUUGACCUCCAAAGUAAGAAAAUGUUUUUAACGUUUUUACGACCACACACACAGCAAUGCAAAGAAAAUAUGUUUCUUGAUGAGGGCCGAAUAAAAAUAUAAAGGUUUAAAAUACCAUUACCCUACAUGAAAAAAGUAAAGGAUAUAUUUGAUUGUGAGGACAUUUUCAGAGAGGCAAGUAGAAUUUUCAACUCACUUAAAUUUGCGUUCAAGAGAUUGGUCUUUAUUCACUUAGGCACACCAUAAAAACUAAUGGCAGGUUGCAGCUAAUUAUUUUUCCAAUGCACCCUGGUGGAGCCAACUACUGACAUAGCAGGUGAAUGUUAUGUAUUGUUAUUGUGUGUGCAUUGGGAUGAAAUGACUGUCUCUGUUUAUCUUACCCGAGGUACACUAAGCCACACGAGAUAUGAUAACAGCAGGGUUAUUGUGAGCCCAACCCAUCCCUGCUUUGGCCGUCGCAUGCACACAACAGUGGCGUGUGUACUCAUGUGGUGUUGCCAGGCUAAUCUUAAACUGAGAAGUGGUUAUGCGAUGCAAUGAGGGCUAGUUGAGGAGUGUGUUUCUUUUAAGAAAGAUUUGUGUGCCUUUGAAAGGUGUGGAAAAUAUAUCAGUGAAAAGAAAAAAAAAGAAAAAUAGGGCAGUUGAAAAUUAAACUUCAAAUUAGAGAGGGCAAUAUGAUGUCACAGCAAUUUAAGAUAAGAAAGAAACGUCCUCAUUUGAACUGUGGAAAAUAAACUAAGACAGUCUUCAAAACCCAACCCCACAUUCUGAUGGAGAAGAGUGUGGAAGGAUAACAUAACUGCUGACUGAGCCUUUAUAGUUUAGCAAACCCUUUAGCCUUUACCUCAAAGUUAAGGCUUCUAUUGCUUUUUAGUCCUGCUUUUUCACAUCCUUCAUGAUUUGGUUUGCAUCUCCUUGGUCUUAGGAGUAAUCUCACUGUUUCCUUUACUUCUUGACUUCACAAUACGCAUUUACCAGAUGUUAUGCUCCUGUCAUAUAUGGCUGCAAUAAUGUGUUUUAUUUGGCUAUUUCUUGAUUGUUUUUGAUAGGCCUGUCACUCCAAGACAAGCACUAUUGUGCUUACUGCAGAUAAGUACCCAUUCUGUAAAUAAGGAACACAUGGUGACAUUCAUGGUGCUUAAAUAAAAGAUGGUAAGAAAAGUAUUGCAACAUAUUCAGCAUUCUUAUACGAUGAUAUGCUGUACAAAAGGCUUUUAUUUACUGUGUUUUUAUGACUCCGACAAAAAGCAUUUCGUUAUAUUUUUAUAUAUGCUUCACCUGAUUAGGAAUAAUCAGUGAGUUAAAGUGCAAUAGUAUACAGCUGACACAUUGUAAUCUGGGUCAUCUAAGUGAAGAACAGUGUAUUUUAACCACAAGGCCAAUUGCAACUCUCAGUCAUUGCUGUUUUGUUGUGGAUCACUAUGGAGUGAUUUUUUGAAUUUGCCCAGUUCGGUUGGUACCAAGGACAUUUAUCAUGUUUACAGGUAAAGGCCGUGGAGCUUCCAGUCAAAGUUUUAGACAUUUAUAUUCACCAGCAGUAAGAAACUUGACAAAUGGCGAUGUUUAGUGUAAAAUAAACAAGGAAUCUUAUGCAACCACACUAUUUCUAAAAUAUAGGCUAUACAACGUUUAUUUGGGGCUAUGAACAUAGUGUAUCUAUGCCACUAUAGUAUUGACUUCAUUGCACGUUCUCUUAACCUCAUGUUGUAUCACCAUAACAUUUUUGUGGUACAUUGUGUGACUUGUAAAAGCUGCACAAUGUUUUUGAUAGGUGAUAAGGAUCGUGGCAUUCAGUUCAUAUAAAAAAAAUCUGGUUUGAACAAGUUUGACCGUAAAUAUUUCAGCUCUAACGAUUGCUGUAAAUGUUGUUUGGCAUGUAAAGAGUUAACUUGUCUCUCUCCGUUGAGCGCUGCGUGGGCUGCGAGAGUGCAUUUUCAGUGUCCAAUGAGCGGCGCGGAGUCCACUCCGCAUUCAGCCAAUGGGGAGAAUGGGAGGCUCUAUCGAAUUUGAAUGAGGAGUGUAUCUUUCGGCGCCAUUUUCGAGUGAGCAGCGAUCGCCUCAGCAGCUGCGGGGAGAGGAUGCUGCGAAUAGAGGAAAGCUGUCGCUGAGACGGGGGAGAAAACCAAGCGCUCAAAAUAAAAACUGCGCCGUUAGAGAGGGGGCAUCGCGUGAUUUCAAAGGAAACACAAGGUGGUGAACAAGAAGCAAGAAGAUGCUGAUGACCAUCUGAACAUCUGUAGGUAGAUAAUAGGUAAUAAAUCUGUAGCCAUCUGUUUGGAUGACACGGCUGAAGAAUGAAGAUAAAAGCCACAGAAGAUGACAAGAGUUGGGGAGUUUAAGGGACCAUGACUGCAGCUCUGGCAAUGCUGUAGCAGCACGGAAUGGUUUGUGGGUUACACUGAGAUGCAGGCCAUACUGUGCUGCCACAGUAAAGCCUGAACAUACAACCUGGCUGUCACCUUGCAGUCCCUCAUCCUGUUAAGGCUGACUCGUUUAUACUAUCGCUCUUGGAUUCGGUGUCUGAAUAUUGUUUGUCUGAUGGCAAAAAGUUUGUUUGGAGUUGCGCCUCUCAUUUGCCGGUCGCCUUACUGUAGCAGCACGUAAAUAUUGGAGUUAAGACUCUAGCUGAAGCCUCCAGUAUUGAUCGUGCUGCUGAAGCAAAGCUGACCACUCACAGUGAGCUCAACCAACCAGCGAGUGUACUCCAGUCGCCCCGACGAUGCCGAACAGUGACGGACGGCGGUUGCUUGAGAGAUGCUUCCAGGUACAUUGUUUACACACAGAUUCUGAGUGAACCUCCAACACUUCCCUGCUUUUAAUUGUUAAAAUAUGAACAUCUUUUUACGUUUCACUGUUCUGUGCACACCUGGAGAAAUAAAAAUUUGAAUUGG